Long non-coding RNA from Zophobas morio, 387 nucleotides. RefSeq lists it as uncharacterized. The transcript has 5 exons. The record is from RefSeq and is a predicted model, not a curated record. Lineage: Eukaryota; Metazoa; Arthropoda; Insecta; Coleoptera; Tenebrionidae.
UAUAAGUUUAAAUCUUUGCACUUCCGCCUUAAUAGUUUUCCAUGUUCCAAACUUUCUUUAUACCAUUUAAAACUGUAAAUUUAUCAUUACAUCAAUCUUGUUUACUUUUCGGUGCUGUCGGAUUAAAGAAUUACAGCAGUUCAAUACAAUUUUGUAAGGAUAAACAUCUUGCGGGUUUGUCUGACGAAAGAUUAAAGAAGGCUCGUCUUUUUGCGCUUAGUAUUACUGGUUUUUGUUUAGUUAUUUACUUGUAUACGUUUCGAGCGUUAAAGCAAGAAACAUUUUUGGAAAUGGACGAGGAGACCUUUAUGAAAUUAAAAAAAGAAAGAGAUCUUAAGCUACUUGAAGAAGGUCGAACCCGUUAGGAUGUUUUUUUUCAAAUUUUAG